This 510-nucleotide ribosomal RNA is filed under the name Escherichia coli. Its description in RNAcentral is "partial 16S ribosomal RNA". It matches the Rfam family "Bacterial small subunit ribosomal RNA", at positions 882 to 1392 of the family's 1533-position model. The record is from RNAcentral. RNAcentral also lists the same sequence under 1 other name. Lineage: Bacteria; Pseudomonadati; Pseudomonadota; Gammaproteobacteria; Enterobacterales; Enterobacteriaceae.
ACGGCCGCAAGGUUAAAACUCAAAUGAAUUGACGGGGGCCCGCACAAGCGGUGGAGCAUGUGGUUUAAUUCGAUGCAACGCGAAGAACCUUACCUGGUCUUGACAUCCACGGAAGUUUUCAGAGAUGAGAAUGUGCCUUCGGGAACCGUGAGACAGGUGCUGCAUGGCUGUCGUCAGCUCGUGUUGUGAAAUGUUGGGUUAAGUCCCGCAACGAGCGCAACCCUUAUCCUUUGUUGCCAGCGGUCCGGCCGGGAACUCAAAGGAGACUGCCAGUGAUAAACUGGAGGAAGGUGGGGAUGACGUCAAGUCAUCAUGGCCCUUACGACCAGGGCUACACACGUGCUACAAUGGCGCAUACAAAGAGAAGCGACCUCGCGAGAGCAAGCGGACCUCAUAAAGUGCGUCGUAGUCCGGAUUGGAGUCUGCAACUCGACUCCAUGAAGUCGGAAUCGCUAGUAAUCGUGGAUCAGAAUGCCACGGUGAAUACGUUCCCGGGCCUUGUACACACCG